GAUGAACGCUGGCGGCGUGCCUAAUACAUGCAAGUCGAGCGAACAGACGAGGAGCUUGCUCCUCUGACGUUAGCGGCGGACGGGUGAGUAACACGUGGAUAACCUACCUAUAAGACUGGGAUAACUUCGGGAAACCGGAGCUAAUACCGGAUAACAUGUUGAACCGCAUGGUUCAACAGUGAAAGACGGUCUUGCUGUCACUUAUAGAUGGAUCCGCGCCGCAUUAGCUAGUUGGUAAGGUGACGGCUUACCAAGGCAACGAUGCGUAGCCGACCUGAGAGGGUGAUCGGCCACACUGGAACUGAGACACGGUCCAGACUCCUACGGGAGGCAGCAGUAGGGAAUCUUCCGCAAUGGGCGAAAGCCUGACGGAGCAACGCCGCGUGAGUGAAGAAGGUCUUCGGAUCGUAAAACUCUGUUAUUAGGGAAGAACAAAUGUGUAAGUAACUAUGCACGUCCUGACGGUACCUAAUCAGAAAGCCACGGCUAACUACGUG
RNAcentral lists this ribosomal RNA (497 nucleotides) under uncultured bacterium. RNAcentral's name for it is "partial 16S ribosomal RNA". It matches the Rfam family "Bacterial small subunit ribosomal RNA", at positions 28 to 507 of the family's 1533-position model. The record is from RNAcentral.